This 837-nucleotide long non-coding RNA is filed under the name Equus caballus (horse). RNAcentral's name for it is "lncRNA (ENSECAG00000028271.2)". Lineage: Eukaryota; Metazoa; Chordata; Mammalia; Perissodactyla; Equidae. The record is from RNAcentral.
AAAUUUCAUCUGGUGCUACUUCGGAAUCCUGACAUCAUGAAUAGCAAUAAAUCUCUUUAGAUCGGUGCUUAGAUACGUAGAUAAACUAGAUGCACUCAACAUGUGAUCCAGAAGAAGACAGUCUACAGGGAGAAGUAAAAAUGAAGUAAAGAGAUCAGUAGUCUCAGAUCUGCCUUUCUUUCCACCACUCAGUUUCUUCCUACAGCUCAGGAUGCUGGUUGAGGCUCCACAGCACCCUCUUGAAGACCUACAGCACCUUCUCAAGGAUCCACGGCCCCCUCUGGAGGCUCUGUUGCACCCUUUUGGGGAUCUAUAGCACCGUCUUGCCACUUUUCCUGGCUCCCCAGGGCUUCCUCCCAGUGCCUAUUCUCUGCUCUCUUUGCUGGCUUCCAACUGCCAUUAAUUCUAAUACAUGCCCUUCCCUAACAUGUUUACCUGGGGAAGAAUCUAAGUAAUUAAUUCUCACUAGGUAUUACUGAUUAAUUUAUUAGAAUCCUAAAAAGUUGUGCAUUUUAACAGGAAUUCCCUUCACCCAAAGGGUUGUUAGAGGUGGGACGGACCUUAAAAGUAAAAGCGAUUGAAGCCAAGUCUCUCCUCCUCCCUCCACACUUCAUUUGUAAGCUACAUACAGCCACACCAGGGCUGAUGCUGUCUGUACUAGUCCUUCUUAUACUACAUUGCCUCCAGUGAAGGAGCUCCCAGCACCAGGACAGAUGUGUUAGGGAUAUUUCUGAAGCAAGAGAGCCUUUUCAGCAUGCUUAAACAUUCCUUAUAGGCUAUGAUCUUCUUAACUCACACAUUAGGCUUUCCUGAGAAAGCAGACAGCAAUACCAUUAG